AUCUGGCUGAUGAGUCCGAAAUAAGACAAAACGCGCGUCCUGGAU
Schistosoma haematobium is the source of this 45-nucleotide non-coding RNA. The record is from Rfam. NCBI's taxonomy places the organism in Eukaryota, Metazoa, Platyhelminthes, Trematoda, Strigeidida, Schistosomatidae.